Molecule: ribosomal RNA, 505 nt
Filed under: uncultured bacterium
Lineage: Bacteria
Description: partial 16S ribosomal RNA
Rfam family: Bacterial small subunit ribosomal RNA
Source: RNAcentral
GACGAACGCUGGCGGCGUGCCUAAUACAUGCAAGUAGAACGCACAGUUUAUACCGUAGCUUGCUACACCAUACACUGUGAGUUGCGAACGGGUGAGUAACGCGUAGGUAACCUGCCUGGUAGCGGGGGAUAACUAUUGGAAACGAUAGCUAAUACCGCAUAAUAUUGAUUAUUGCAUGAUAAUUGAUUGAAAGGUGCUAUUGCAUCACUACCAGAUGGACCUGCGUUGUAUUAGCUAGUAGGUGAGGUAACGGCUCACCUAGGCGACGAUACAUAGCCGACCUGAGAGGGUGAUCGGCCAAACUGGGACUGAGACACGGCCCAGACUCCUACGGGAGGCAGCAGUAGGGAAUCGUCGGCAAUGGACGAAAGUCUGACCGAGCAACGCCGCGUGAGUGAAGAAGGUUUUCGGAUCGUAAAGCUCUGUUGUAAGAGAAGAACGGGUGUGAGAGUGGAAAGUUCACACUGUGACGGUAUCUUACCAGAAAGGGACGGCUAACUACGUG